This 254-nucleotide ribosomal RNA is filed under the name uncultured bacterium. RNAcentral's name for it is "partial 16S ribosomal RNA". It matches the Rfam family "Bacterial small subunit ribosomal RNA", at positions 524 to 776 of the family's 1533-position model. The record is from RNAcentral.
UACGUAGGGUGCGAGCGUUGUCCGGAAUUAUUGGGCGUAAAGAGCUCGUAGGCGGUCUGUCGCGUCGGUCGUGAAAACUUGGGGCUUAACCCUGAGCUUGCGGUCGAUACGGGCAUGACUGGAGUUCGGCAGGGGAGACUGGAAUUCCUGGUGUAGCGGUGAAAUCCGUAGAUAUCAGGAGGAACACCGGUGGCGAAGGCGGCUGCCUGGACCGAUACUGACGCUGAGACGCGAAAGCGUGGGGAGCAAACAGG